RNAcentral lists this long non-coding RNA (1371 nucleotides) under Macaca fascicularis (crab-eating macaque). RNAcentral describes it as "lncRNA (ENSMFAG00000064156.1)". Lineage: Eukaryota; Metazoa; Chordata; Mammalia; Primates; Cercopithecidae. The record is from RNAcentral.
GCAUCUGCAUCGUGGCCUCUGGGGAGGGAGGGGUUGGUUUCAGUGGCCGCUGAAGGCAGGCGGGGGUUGGGGGAUGCACACUUGGCUUGCGCCUCUUCACCAGUGGUGGCAAUUUACAUAUCACUCGCAUCCCAGCCCUGGCAGCAGCAGCUCACACCCCACUUGCACUUCAGCCCUGGCAGUGGCAGCCCACGGUGACAGCAGCUGCAGGUGGGGCACCCUGCCUGGUCACUUGAAAGCACGGCAGCCCCACCGGCAGUGGGGUGAUGCUGCUGGUGGCCAUGCCUCAGCCCUGAUGCUGGUGGCGGCAGCCACACACAGGAGAUGUCCGUGGGGUUCUAGGGAGGUGGAGACACAGGUUCCACAGGACAGGGCACAGUGUGUUGGGGGCUGGGCUCUCAAAAUGCUGCUUUGCUGUAGCUGUUUAGGACUCGGGGUGUGCGUGGGACCUGGCGUGAGCUUCCUCUCUGGGGCAGCACCGCGACUGUCUGUAGGCAGCUCCCUGUGUCAGGUUCCCCUCUGGCGACGGUCGAGGGGCUCUCCCAUGGCCAGGGAUGCAGGAGCUCACAGUAGGGGUUUCUCCCUUACCCCUUCCCCACAUCAGGACAUCUCUCUGGGCUCCCAGCCCAUCCUAACCGGGAAGGCUGCCUUGCUCUCCUCUCCCUCCCUGCUGGAGAGGCUUCCCGUCCCUUCUGUGUCCAGCUCACAUGUUCUCCUUCAUAUGAUCUACCUGAAGUGUGGUUGUCUAAUGACGACUUUUGUUCUUUGUGGAGAAGGCAAGUUGAAGAUGCCUCUAGUCAGCCGUCACGGGAGCCCCUCAGAGUGUUUUAACUCUUUGAAGUUUUUAACUUUUAAUGCAGAAAAAUUUCCACUUGAAGCUUUCAGCCAGGUUCUAAAGAUACCAUCAUGCCUCCUGUUGUAUCAUGUUAACUUUUCCUCAUUGUAUUCAUCGGUAGUUGAUUAUUUAUGGAACUGUACUGAUGUUGAUGUUGUACUUUUUACCUGACUGAAUUAUUUCACAAUUUAUAACAUUGUUAGGUGAUGUUGUGUGUGUGUGUGUGUUUCCUAAGUAGGCAAUCCUGUCAUCUGCAAAUACCACCUUCCCUGCCUGGGAUCUGCAAGUACCCGGUCCCUGGCUUAGAGACACGUUUCAACCACUGCCAAACGCUUGCAAACUGGUCCUUAACUCACCUCAGUUCCAGUUUUCCCUUCCCUUCCCAUCAUAACUCCCACACACGGCUUCUGCUUCUUGGCAUCGGAUACUUCUGGUUACCGUAACUCAUUUAUACGUCACUGUGGAGCUGAUGACAGGGUUUAGGACAUCCGCUAAACCCCAGGGACAGAAAAGUGCAGGAAACGGACCUGGCUCUU